This 433-nucleotide ribosomal RNA is filed under the name uncultured bacterium. Its description in RNAcentral is "partial 16S ribosomal RNA". It matches the Rfam family "Bacterial small subunit ribosomal RNA", at positions 29 to 507 of the family's 1533-position model. The record is from RNAcentral.
AACGAACGCUGGCGGCAGGCCUAACACAUGCAAGUCGAGCGAGGACUUCGGUUCUAGCGGCGGACGGGUGAGUAACGCGUGGGAAUGUGCCCUUCUCUACGGAAUAGCCCUGGGAAACUGGGAGUAAUACCGGAUACGCCCUAUUGGGGAAAGAUUUAUCGGAGAAGGAUCAGCCCGCGUUGGAUUAGGUAGUUGGUGGGGUAAUGGCCUACCAAGCCGACGAUCCAUAGCUGGUUUGAGAGGAUGAUCAGCCACACUGGGACUGAGACACGGCCCAGACUCCUACGGGAGGCAGCAGUGGGGAAUCUUAGACAAUGGGGGCAAUCCUGAUCGAGCCAUGCCGGGUGAGUGAUGAAGGCCUUAGGGUUGUAAAGCUCUUUCAGCUGGGAAGAUAAUGACGGUACCAGCAGAAGAAGCCCCGGCUAACUCCGUG